UUACGACCACAUCACGUUGAAACACCACUUCCAGUACGAUUACCGAAGUUAAGUAACGUAGAGCCUGUUCAGUACCUAGAUGGGUGACCGCUUGGGAAUACUAGAUGCUGUAUA
This is a non-coding RNA of Acanthosepion pharaonis, 114 nucleotides long. Lineage: Eukaryota; Metazoa; Mollusca; Cephalopoda; Sepiida; Sepiidae. The record is from the annotation of a GenBank genome assembly.